This 493-nucleotide ribosomal RNA is filed under the name uncultured bacterium. RNAcentral's name for it is "partial 16S ribosomal RNA". It matches the Rfam family "Bacterial small subunit ribosomal RNA", at positions 32 to 507 of the family's 1533-position model. The record is from RNAcentral.
AACGCUGGCGGCGUGCCUAAUACAUGCAAGUCGAGCGAACAGACGAGGAGCUUGCUCCUCUAACGUUAGCGGCGGACGGGUGAGUAACACGUGGAUAACCUACCUAUAAGACUGGGAUAACUUCGGGAAACCGGAGCUAAUACCGGAUAAUAUAUUGAACCGCAUGGUUCAAUAGUGAAAGACGGUUUUGCUGUCACUUAUAGAUGGAUCCGCGCCGCAUUAGCUAGUUGGUAAGGUAACAGCUUACCAAGGCAACGAUGCGUAGCCGACCUGAGAGGGUGAUCGGCCACACUGGAACUGAGACACGGUCCAGACUCCUACGGGAGGCAGCAGUAGGGAAUCUUCCGCAAUGGGCGAAAGCCUGACGGAGCAACGCCGCGUGAGUGAUGAAGGUCUUCGGAUCGUAAAACUCUGUUAUUAGGGAAGAACAAAUGUGUAAGUAACUAUGCACGUCUUGACGGUACCUAAUCAGAAAGCCACGGCUAACUACGUG